This is a long non-coding RNA of Stylophora pistillata, 1160 nucleotides long. The record is from RefSeq and is a predicted model, not a curated record. Lineage: Eukaryota; Metazoa; Cnidaria; Anthozoa; Scleractinia; Pocilloporidae.
UCGACUAAGAGAGGAACAGACGGUGUUUUGAAAGCGCUGGCCUUCACAGUGCUAUGAACAGAUGCGCAAGUCAACCGACAUAUCGACGUGGUUAGCUGUGGGUCAAUUCAGGAUAUACAUUCCGCGAAUACACGACGCAUUCUUCUGGUUCGGUGUGGCCUCUUUUCGAAGAUGGCGUCUGUCAUGAUUAACCUCCAUCUGCGGAAUUUAAUCGAUUCAACACGACAUUCUUAGCUCUGAAGACUAAAUCUUCGAGAUUAAAGGUUAAAGAUGGACUUCCCUAAGAAUCUCUCUUCACCAUCUCUUGCUGGCAAAUAAUCCAGAACGUUUUCAUUACUGAAAAGUCUACGGCGGACAGAAACUGUCAAUUUCACAGGCAGUGGUAGUAACUUAUUAGUAAAUUUCGAUAAAUUUGCCGGUGGGCAACAUACAGGCCGGUGGGCAACAUACAGGCCGGUGGGCAACAUACAGGCCGGUGGGCAACAUACAGACCGGUGGGCAACAUACAGGCCGGUGGGCAGCAUACAGGCCGGUGGGCAACAUACAGGCCGGUGGGCAACAUACAGGCCGGUGGGCAACAUACAGGCCGUUUGCACAGGGCGGAGAUUCAACUCACUUUUCAAGCCACGAGGGAACUUUAUUAAAAUAAAAAGGAAAGGGUUACCAGAUUUUUUAAAAAUAAACUGAAGUUAGUUGGAGAAUAGUACCCAUAUUUAUAGAUACUCUACAGAGAUUUUUUUAACAUGUUAACUUGCAAUCCGACUUGAUAACGAAAACCAAUGGACUGCGCGCAGAUGAAGUCACUUAUCCUGGAGAUUUCAAAUAUCAAGAUGAAAGGCAACCGAGGUUUUCUGUCAACUAACAAUGGACUGGGAGGCUCACGUUCUCUUCCUCUGAAACAAGACCUAAAUCUCUUUUGUCUUCAAGAUGAACUUUUUGCAGUGGUCAAUCGAAAUAAACGCGGCGAUGUGGACAGUGGAAAAAUUAUGCCAGCAAACUAUCUUUAAAUAAGGCGAUACAAUUAAAUGCCACAAAAAGACGUGGGAAGCAAAAGUAUCCCAAAGUUUGACGACCAAAGUAAUUCUUGGUUAGUUAAAAACCGUAAAUUGUCUCUUAUAACCACUAUUGAUCUGUACAUGUAAAUAGGGCUAUACAACUAA